This 145-nucleotide microRNA precursor is filed under the name Gossypium hirsutum (cotton). RNAcentral's name for it is "MIR7502 microRNA precursor family". It matches the Rfam family "MIR7502 microRNA precursor family". The record is from Rfam by way of RNAcentral. Lineage: Eukaryota; Viridiplantae; Streptophyta; Magnoliopsida; Malvales; Malvaceae.
AAUUAGUUCUUUCAUCUAUUUAUAUUAUUAAAAACUAUUGUGGUUGAUGGAAUAAUUAGAUAAUGACAUGUGAUGUGCGAUAUGUACCUCAUGUUGAGGUAUAAAGACUAAUUUUUAAUAGCAUAAUUAGAUAGAAUUUUUAAAA